Molecule: long non-coding RNA, 341 nt
Filed under: Mytilus galloprovincialis (Mediterranean mussel)
Lineage: Eukaryota; Metazoa; Mollusca; Bivalvia; Mytilida; Mytilidae
Source: RNAcentral
UGGGGAAUGUGCCAAAGAGACAACAACCCGACCAUAGAAAAAAACAACAGCAGAAGGUCACCAACAGGUCUUCAAUGUAGCGAGAAAUUCCCGCACCCGGAGGCGUCCUUCAACUGGCCCCUAAACAAAUAUAUACUAGUUCAGUGAUAAUGAACGCCAUACUAAUUUCCAAAUUGUACACAAGAAACUAAAAUUAAAAUAAUACAAGACUAACAAAGGCCAGAGGCUCCUGACUUGGGACAGGCGCAAAAAUGCGGCGGGGUUAAACAUGUUUGUGAGAUCUCAACCCUCUCCCUAUACCUCUAGCCAAUGUAGAAAAGUAAACGCAUAACAAUACGCAC